AGCGAGCCACGGUGUUUAUGUUUACAGCGUGCCACAGGUGUUUAUGUUUACAGCGUGUCACAGUUUUUUAUGUUUACAGCGAGUCGCAGGUGUUUAUGUUUACAGCAAGCCGCAGGUGUUUAUGUUAACAUAGAUUCGCAGAUGUCAACGUUACAUCGAUGUUUACUUUUUCAGCAAAUCGCAGAUGUACACAUUUACAGCGAGGAAGAUAUGCUUACGUUUACAGCGUACCACAGAUGUUUGCAUAUAGUUCAGACGUUUACAGCGUGUCACAUAUGUUUACUAGUAGUUUAAACUAUAUUUGGCAGGAACCUACAGCAAUUUAUAAUCACUUAAGAUUCUGUUUCCUGGAACUAGUGGAGUACCGGUAAUAUUUCGGGAAAGAUAUUCACGAGACUCGAACCAAUAUUGCUUGCUUGAGAGACAUACAAUUUUACUAUUAUGACACCGUCAUCUGAAGCACAAACUACAACAUGACAACCACAAAAAGAGGAUAUCGUCAUUUUUGUUAGAGUUGUAGACAAUGAAUAAGCAUACUAUUAUGCAGUCUAGUUUUUUUAUUGUUUAGAUAUAUAAGAUUUAAUGAAAUAUUUUCAUCAUUUUCUAACACUGCAUUCCUCUAUUGGUAAUGAAGAACAUGUAAAGGGAAAUUUUGUAUUUUAAAAAUUGAAACCGUACGUGAUGAUGGUCAGUAACUUUGUGGUUGAAGCCGGUUGAAAAGUCAUACCAGGUCGGACAUUGUCCUCAAUAUAAAACAAAGAAAAACUUGCAUAAUAAAUAUUAUAAUAUAAUGUAUCAUCACAAACUAAACGGUCAGCGAUCAUUCUAAUUAAAUAGUUUAAGUUUAAAUUGAAGAGAAGAGAAAUAUAUUUUAACAGAUGCUGGUAGGUCAUGAACACUUUUAUUUACUUAUAUUUAUAAUUAUUUUAUGACCUAAUUUAUUUAUAUAUUGUUCUUUAAACACCACACUCCUUUAUAUUUUGUAAUAAAUUCUAAAUAUGAAUGACUUUAUUAAACCAGGCAAGCUUCCUUAUUUCCUUUCUUUAAUCAAAAUUGUAAAAAUGCUUUGCUCGAAUUAUUUUUAAGUACAUGUGUCGCUCCUAUAGUCCUUAUAUUUUUGUAUGGCACGGAAAUAUACGACCGUUUCCAAAUUUUCACGAACUCUCUCUAUAUAUAUAUAUUUAUUGUAUUUGGCAGCUUUGUAGUACUACAUGAUUUAAUACACUUGUUUGACAAGAAAACCCCACAUCUUAAAGCUUUAACUGCAGCGUUUAAAUGAAAUAUUUACUUUUUGUGUUACCAUUUUAGAAGAUGAGUCGGGUUCCAGACCUGUCUAGCGUAAAAGCUGACCAUUAUGAAAUUCCUAUCGUCAUGGCAACAGAGGCAUCCUUAAGGGGUUACGCUUCCAUUGUGACAGACUUUACGACUGUCAAGGUCGAAAAAACGCCAUGGCCACUGAAAGGUUGGCGUAAGGCAAGUGACGAUACAGACAUUAUACAAGGAGAGGACACCGGAGAAAUUUAUUACAAAUGGGAAAAUAACAUAUACAUUGCCGACAAAGUGCAUGGUCGAAAGAACGAAAUUGGUGUCAUAAACAACAACAACAACAACAUCUCAUUACUUGGCAACGCCGACCAAAAAUUAUCAAGAACGCACGUUCUAGCUUGGGAAAGUACGUAUCAUCCGGAUUGCGGCGAAGUUUUCUUUCCGAAAAAUGGCGACGAGUUUGUUGUUGUUGUUGCGUUGCCAGGCGACGACAUAAAACCGGAAGACUUCAUAGCGUUCUUUUGUGAUGGUUCAUUCGGAAUUCAGACUCACCCAUUUGUAUGGCAUAUUGGAAUGUUUUCAGCGAAAGACAAUGUUACGUUUCUAGGGAAACAAGGCCUGUUACACGCGUGCGUGUCUGUAAACUUUGUUAAAGAGUUUGGUCGUUUAAUUUCCGUGCCCUUAGUGAAACCAGAGGAGUAGAAAAAAACUAUUUAACAUUUUAUCAACAAGCUAUUAAAUCAUACAUGUUAACGUUAUGUUUAUUACAUGAAAUGCACAGACGUGAAAUGAACGUUAUAUAUAUUGUGUAAAAUUGCGAGAAAUUAUUUUUGAACAGAUGUUUUAGGAACAAAAUAUUAAAGCAUUAAAUGUAUUUUUCUUUAAAAAAUCUAUGAUAUUUUGACAGUAUUUGUUCAGGUAAAAGACAAGCAGAAUAGUUGACGUUAUUUUUUUAACAUAAAGUUCAGUAAAAUCAGUAACACUCUUUAAAUGAUGACAUCAUACAAUGUCAUACAGUAAUGGUAUUUCAGUGUCAUAAUAUCUCAAAAAUGUGUUAUAUAAUAUGUGUUAAAUACAACUAUAUAUCUAAUUUGUCAGACACAGCUCUUUUUCUUUCGAGCGCUGUAUCAUGUAAAAAAACUUGUAUUCGCAUUAAAUGGGUACAUGAUAUCAAGAAGUUUUAAUGAAGUGACUUGUAUAAUACAGAGGGAGAUCAGUUCAACAAAUGUAAAUUAGCUUGUUAUCAAUUGAAGUUAUUAUACCUGUAAAAAGAUUACUUUGAGCACCUUUGUGUUUGAGAUAACUGUCUCUCGAUCUAGGUGUAGUGGGUGCAUCCCUUACUUGGGUAAUGCCCGGGUGCGUCCCUUACUGGGGAAACGCCUGGGUUCGUCCCUUACUGGGAUAACGUCCGGGUUCGUCCAUUACUGGGAUAAAGUUCGAGCUUGUCCCUUGCUAGGAUAAUACCCAUGCUCGUCCCUUGCUAGGAUAACGCCCGGGUUCGUCCCUUACUUGGGUAAUGUCCUAGUUCUUUCCUUACUGGGGUGACGUCCGGGCUCGUCCCUUACUGGGGUGACGUCCGGGCUCGUCCAUUGCUGGGGUAACGACCUUGUUUCUUUGUAAGAUACCAAAUUACCAGUACUUGUUGUUCCCAUGAAGGAAAAAGAAACGCGACUGGUUUGUAUAAGCGUCAGAUUUUUAUGCUAAUCAGACUAUUAUAAGUGUGUUUGAUAUCAUAAGUUUAGUAACCACAUCUCAACGAGGACAUCAGUAUUUUCUUAUACAUGCUGAGUGGUCUUUGAAGGCAAGUUUUACUGUAUUUUCUUGUUACAGAUAUAACAGAUGUCACAUAUCGUCACCUAAGUGCAAUAACUGAUUAACUCCUAUUAAAUUUAUAUGGACUUAUUCUGUUACUGCACUAAAGUGACGAUAUAUGUUUACCUUUCUCAUCAUUGUUAUCAUCAGCCGUUAUCUCGGUUUGAAAAUUAAAUUCAGACUCAAUUUUUUUUUUUUUUUUUGCUUUUGAACUUUACAAGUAUGUAUAUAGGAUGCCGGUAUUGUGAGUGUGAAAUGAAUGUUAAAUAGCGACCUCCUUAACUAUUAAAUACAAAUUAAGGUGACGGUGGUUUAUUUCAUUUCAUUUCAUUUAUUUUAUUUUUAAAGGAAUCACAAUUGUUCGUUGAGGGUUGGAGAAAGGCAAGAAAAGGGACAGAUAUUAUUCCAGGAGAGGACGUCUUCGAAAUAACAUACGCACGUAAUGAGCAAGGUAUUACCAUGAAGAAAGAACGCGGACGUUUGAACGAAAUAGGUCGUCUUACGAAAACUUCUUGCUCUAAUGAAGAAGUGACGUCCGUUUUAGUACAGGAAAUGACGUAUCAUCCAGAUUGUGGAGAGGUAUUUUUCCCAAAGAAUGGGGAUGCAUUCAUAGGUCUUUUUGCUCCUCCAGGGGACGAUUUUGACCCCGCAACAGUGAGGGCAUUUUAUUUUGACGGAAGUUUCGGUGUUCAAUGUCAUCCGAAUGUUUGGCAUCAAGGCAUGUAUAUCCUACAAGAUGAGGCCAUCAUGAAGGGGAAACAAGGGCCGCUUCAUUUAUGCAUCACUAUCGAUGUUGUAGAAGAACUAGGACAAUAUUUGAGUGUACCUUUACAAAAACCUUGUCAAUAAAAAUAAUAUUGUAUACGAAAUUAACUGCUUCAUAAGUUUCAGAAAAUGAAAAUAUUUUAUUGCUAUCAUAUUUCACAUUUUUCAGUAAGAAAAGAUUAAAAAAAAGUGUUGUUGUCAAAAUUA
Molecule: RNA transcript, 4050 nt
Organism: Ruditapes philippinarum (Manila clam)
Lineage: Eukaryota; Metazoa; Mollusca; Bivalvia; Venerida; Veneridae
Exons: 3
Source: RefSeq, a predicted model, not a curated record